AUAGACAAUGCAAGCAAGCAAUGAAAGAAAUGCAGAUCAAAAUGAAACAUGCAUGUUUAGGAAAGAAUUAAUAUAAACUACAGAUAUUAGAAGGAGAAGCCAAGGGAACGACAUGAGGAGCUACUAAACCUACUGGCCUUGCUCUUCAAAUUCUGUUUUGGAUAAUAAUACAUGCUCCAGUCCUGAAUGCAGGAGUUUUCUAACACAGAGCUGGUUUAAAGGUGACAUUCAAGGAGUAUCUUGAUUCAACAGUUCAGAUGAGAUGCUAGGAACAGAUUCCUUUUCAGCCUCGUAAUCUUCCUGCUUUAACAAUAAACUUGGAUUUAUUUUAUACUA
Long non-coding RNA from Pipra filicauda (Wire-tailed manakin), 336 nucleotides. RefSeq lists it as uncharacterized. The transcript is spliced from 2 exons. The record is from RefSeq and is a predicted model, not a curated record. NCBI's taxonomy places the organism in Eukaryota, Metazoa, Chordata, Aves, Passeriformes, Pipridae.